Molecule: ribosomal RNA, 253 nt
Filed under: uncultured bacterium
Lineage: Bacteria
Description: partial 16S ribosomal RNA
Rfam family: Bacterial small subunit ribosomal RNA
Source: RNAcentral
UACGAGUGCCCCGAGCGUUAUCCGGAAUCAUUGGGCGUAAAGGGUGUGUAGGUGGCAGUGUUAGUCUAUUGUUAAAACCUGGGGCUUAACCCCAGAUGUGCGAUAGAUACGGCACAGCUAGAGGAUGGCAGGGAUGUAUGGAACUCAUGGAGUAGGGGUGAAAUCCGUUGAUAUCAUGGGGAACACCAAAAGCGAAGGCAGUACAUUGGGCCACUCCUGACACUGAAACACGAAAGCGUGGGUAGCAAACAGG